AGCAUGAAGCCCCCCUCGAGAUGAGAUUUCCCAACUUCGGUUAUAAGAUCCCUCAAAGAUGAUGAGGUGAAUAGGUUCGAGGUGGAAGCGUAGCGAUACGUGGAGCUGACGAAUACUAAUCGAUCGAAGACUUAAUCAACAU
RNAcentral lists this ribosomal RNA (142 nucleotides) under Staphylococcus pseudintermedius. RNAcentral describes it as "partial 23S ribosomal RNA". It matches the Rfam family "Bacterial large subunit ribosomal RNA", at positions 2784 to 2925 of the family's 2925-position model. Lineage: Bacteria; Bacillati; Bacillota; Bacilli; Caryophanales; Staphylococcaceae. The record is from RNAcentral.